GCCACGAUGGUGAGUCCAUGAACCCCAAGCAGAAGGGUAAGGUUCGCCAAUAUUGUAAGGGAGAUCCUUAAGUCCGGUACCCGAUCCACCCACCACUCCCUUCAAAAAUUUAAACAUAUUGUCCUUGUUCUUCUAUGCUAGUAUCGAGAAUACAAAAAGGAGUUGGCGAUCUGCAAAACUGGAAUUGAUUCGACUGGAUCUGAGAGUGAGAAUUGAGAAAGUG
Molecule: unclassified non-coding RNA, 223 nt
Filed under: Hevea brasiliensis (rubber tree)
Lineage: Eukaryota; Viridiplantae; Streptophyta; Magnoliopsida; Malpighiales; Euphorbiaceae
Source: RNAcentral